This 30-nucleotide small RNA is filed under the name Bombyx mori (domestic silkworm). Its description in RNAcentral is "ovarian small RNA-31288". The record is from RNAcentral. Lineage: Eukaryota; Metazoa; Arthropoda; Insecta; Lepidoptera; Bombycidae.
UGACAAAUAUCCAUUACCCCACAUAGACGA